AAAAAAUUAAACUCGAAGAGAAAGAAAGAAAGAGACCCUGGAAGAGAACGAGCGAUCUCCUCUGCACUACCGGUGACUACACUGAAGAGCAAGCACUGAGUUUCUCUUCCUAGUUCUUACUCUCAGCAUCAGCAGACAAAAGAUGAGAGCGGAAGUCCCCUUAGAGCCGCCCUGUCACUGCAGUCAGAUCAUCAGAACAGCCAUUUACUGUCUACAAUGUACAACUAUACAAAGAUAAUCUUCUGUUGGUUGGUUCCUGUCUGGUGACUUUACUAGCUAUCUGUAUGUCACACAGGAUGAAGAGCAAAAACAGAUGGGUUGGAGAAUUCCUAACAGUGUCAAAAAAUAAAUAAAUAAAAUAAAAUAAAAUAAAAUAAA
This is a long non-coding RNA of Carassius gibelio (silver crucian carp), 378 nucleotides long. RefSeq lists it as uncharacterized. The transcript has 2 exons. The record is from RefSeq and is a predicted model, not a curated record. Lineage: Eukaryota; Metazoa; Chordata; Actinopteri; Cypriniformes; Cyprinidae.